RNAcentral lists this unclassified non-coding RNA (343 nucleotides) under soil metagenome. RNAcentral's name for it is "partial contains 5.8S ribosomal RNA, internal transcribed spacer 2, and large subunit ribosomal RNA". The stretch from base 1 to 120 matches the Rfam family "5.8S ribosomal RNA", at positions 35 to 154 of the family's 154-position model. The record is from RNAcentral.
GAUGAAGAACGCAGCGAAAUGCGAUAAGUAGUGUGAAUUGCAGAAUUCAGCGAAUCAUCGAAUCUUUGAACGCACAUUGCGCCCGCCAGCAUUCUGGCGGGCAUGCCUGUUCGAGCGUCAUUUCAACCCUCGAGCCCCCCCGGGGGCCUCGGUGUUGGGGGACGGCACACCAGCCGCCCCCGAAAUGCAGUGGCGACCCCGCCGCAGCCUCCCCUGCGUAGUAGCACACACCUCGCACCGGAGCGCGGAGGCGGUCACGCCGUAAAACGCCCAACUUUCUUAGAGUUGACCUCGGAUCAGGUAGGAAUACCCGCUGAACUUAAGCAUAUCAAUAAGCGGAGGA